Molecule: ribosomal RNA, 584 nt
Filed under: uncultured marine bacterium
Lineage: Bacteria
Description: bacterial SSU rRNA
Rfam family: Bacterial small subunit ribosomal RNA
Source: RNAcentral
AAGUCGAGGGGUAACAGAAAAGCUUGCUUUUGCUGACGACCGGCGCACGGGUGCGUAACGCGUAUGCAACCUACCUCAUACUGGAGGAUAGCCCCUGGAAACGGGGAUUAAUACUCCAUAGUAUCACAAUUUCGCAUGUUAUUGUGAUUAAAGUUUUUCGGUAUGAGAUGGGCAUGCGUCCCAUUAGCUUGUUGGUGAGGUAACGGCUCACCAAGGCAACGAUGGGUAGGGGGCCUGAGAGGGUGGUCCCCCACACUGGUACUGAGACACGGACCAGACUCCUACGGGAGGCAGCAGUGAGGAAUAUUGGUCAAUGGAGGAAACUCUGAACCAGCCAUGCCGCGUGAAGGAUGACGGCCCUAUGGGUUGUAAACUUCUUUUAUAGAGGAAGAAACUUGUCUACGUGUAGACAACUGACGGUACUCUACGAAUAAGGAUCGGCUAACUCCGUGCCAGCAGCCGCGGUAAUACGGAGGAUCCAAGCGUUAUCCGGAUUCAUUGGGUUUAAAGGGUCCGUAGGCGGAUUUUUAAGUCAGUGGUGAAAGCCGACAGCUCAACUGUCGAACUGCCAUUGAUACUGGAAA